This 1229-nucleotide ribosomal RNA is filed under the name Lophotermes septentrionalis. RNAcentral describes it as "16S ribosomal RNA". The stretch from base 757 to 1157 matches the Rfam family "Bacterial large subunit ribosomal RNA", at positions 2049 to 2651 of the family's 2925-position model. The record is from RNAcentral. Lineage: Eukaryota; Metazoa; Arthropoda; Insecta; Blattodea; Termitidae.
UUGAUUGUCUUGUUUUAAUGUUUUGUGUUUGUUAAAUGUUCAUUGAAAUAUCAUUCUGGUUGUUGUAUUUUUUUGAUUUAAUUUUUGUUACGAUAGAUUAUUUGUACUGUAAGGGGUUGGGGUUUAGAAUGUUUUUUAGGAAGUUGAUUUUGUUUGUCGUACCUUGUGUAUCAGGGUUCAUUGAAUUUUAUUAUUUAUUUUUUAUUUCCCGAUUUUAGAGGAGUUAAUAAUUUAUGUUAGUUACUGUUUCAGUAGUAUUAAUAAUAAGUUGUUGGUAGUGAAAUGUUAUUCGUCUUUAAUGGUUUCUGGUUUUCCAAGAAAUGAAUUUAAUUCAUGCAUCUUAUUUAAUUUCUGUUGUUAUUUAUUUAUUUUUAUUUGAUGUUAAAAUUAAGGGGGAUUAGCUCCUUAUUUUAUUUUUAUAAUUAUUUUUGUGAAUUUAGUUUUGUGGAUUUUAUAGUGAUUUUCAAUUUGAUUAUGUUAAAAUUUUAUUUUUUCUUUUGUUUAUUUCUUUUAAUUUAAUUUAUUUAUUGGAAUGUUUUCUUUAUCUUUUUAUGUAUGGUAAUUAUUGUGUAAUUAGUAAAUUGUGUUCGUUAUGUUGUGUGUUUUGAUGUUAAUUUCCUUUUAGGAAUUCGGCAAAGACUUAUGUCCGCCUGUUUAACAAAAACAUCUUUUCUUNNNNNNNNNNNNNNNNNNNNGGUAUGAAUGGCUUGACGAGACAUGGGCUGUCUUAAUAGAAUUUGUUGUUGAAUUUAGUUUUUGAGUUAAAAUACUUAAAUGUUUUUAUGGGACGAGAAGACCCUAUAGAGUUUGACAUUUUGCCUGUUAAUGUGAGGAUUGGGUUUGUUGUAAUUGUUUUAGUGGGUUGAUUGUUUUGUUGGGGUGAUGGGAGGAAUUUUUUAACUCCUCUUUUGUUUGGCAUAUUUAUUUAUAUUUUUUUGAUCCAUUGAUUUAUGAUUAUAAGAUUAAAUUACCUUAGGGAUAACAGCGUUAUCUUCCUUGAGAGUUCUUAUUGGCGGGAAGGUUUGCGACCUCGAUGUUGGAUUAAGAUGAAUUUUCGGUGCAGGAGCUGAAAUUGAUUAGGUCUGUUCGACCUUUAAAAUCUUACAUGAUCUGAGUUCAGACCGGCGUGAGCCAGGUUGGUUUCUAUCUAUAAUAAUGUUUUAUACCUUAGUACGAGAGGACCGGGUAUUUGGAAUAAUUUUAAUUUUGUGUGAUUUUUAUUAAUAUGG